UCAAAGUAUAGCUUAAAUUAAAGCAUCUUGCUUACACCAAGAAAAUUCUAGUUAAAAUCUAGCUUCUUUGA
RNAcentral lists this transfer RNA (71 nucleotides) under Siren intermedia (lesser siren). RNAcentral describes it as "transfer RNA-Val". It matches the Rfam family "tRNA". Rfam says of the family: Transfer RNA (tRNA) molecules are approximately 80 nucleotides in length. Their secondary structure includes four short double-helical elements and three loops (D, anti-codon, and T loops). Lineage: Eukaryota; Metazoa; Chordata; Amphibia; Caudata; Sirenidae. The record is from RNAcentral.